UACUUCUUUCGAAAACAUGGAAACAUCCUACCGACCCCAAACUUGUGCACAUUAAUAAUGCAUUAUACAGCAUAAACAGACUUCAUAUGCAGUGUUAUAUCUACUGUUUGUUGAUUCUGUUGCAAGUAACACAUCAUCUCUCGACUCUUUUCGGUCAGAUCAACAAGCAGAACCAGAAGCACAGAGAUUGGACCAUGCGGUUAUCGGAGGAGUGGUGGCCGUCGUGGUCUUCGCCAUGUUGUGUCUUCUCAUUGUUUUGGGACGAUACUUUGCAAGACACAAAGGCACCUACUUCACACACGAAGCCAAGGGGGCAGAUGAUGCAGCGGACGCCGACACAGCCAUCAUCAACGCCGAAGGGGGCCACAACAACUCGGACGAGAAGAAAGAGUACUAUAUCUGAGUCCCGAGGCCUCUGUUGUUCUUACUAUUUAGUUUUGUUUUGGGGCGGGAUGGGGCGGGGCAUGGGGAAACUGUGGGAAGAGUUUUUGUUUAUUUGUUUGAUUUUCUUUCCUGGGGAUUGAAUGAAGUAGAAUGCUAUAUGGGCAGCUGAGAAGAUGUAGGUAUUUGUGUUAAACAGCGGGAUCAGGGUCGGGGGUGGGGUUUGGGGUGGGCAGGAUACCAGACGUUGCCAGAUAUGAGUGUAGAAAGCAUCAACACACAGCACCUCCCCAACUGCUGGUAUUUUUUCGUUCAUUUCUUGACCAUUUGCAGAAAAUUCUGUGCCUUGUUCUGAAUUUCUUUUCUUAGUCAUGCUUUAAAAGCCAUCCAUCGUGUCACACCCAAACCCCCCUCCCUGAAAACACACAUACACCACCAUCUCUGAUUAUCGACUUUAUCAGCUUUCCUAUGAAGGUACAUGAGCGCACACCUCAAUACAUUCCCACAUACUGUGGGCAUCUCCAUCAAAACAUCAUAUCCUCUGUACUCAGCAGGCCUAGUCACAUGACAGCAUUUUGAUUUACUCAAGUCAGCAGCAUCAUGAAGGGAAGUACAAGCAGCUUCCUUCCUUCCAGUCCCUCAAUAAGUUGAUGUGACCGGCGGAGAAUUGAUCUUGAACAUUGCACCUGUUUUCAUUCUGACAGGCUGCAUCUGCAUCGCUGCAGAAUGAUUAUAUCUUCGGUUUAAAUCAUUUUUUUUUUUUUUUUUUUAUACUGAAUGUGCCAGUACAUUUGAAGAAUUGCUACUGCUUGGAAAGAGCAUAGGUGCAGACAAACACUUCCUGCUACACUGCACCUUCGGAGGCUUCUCAUCUCGUUCUGCUCUGCUACACACAACCGAAAGCCCUUGCAGGUAUUUAUUGUUUUGGUAUAACGAUGUCUUAGGUUUCCUCAGCAUUUCCAUCCAGAAAUGUUUUCGCACAUGCCAUAAUGACGAAACAGUCGCCGUCACUGAAAAAGGUCUAAAUGCUAUGGCUUAUGUUUAAAUUUUUUUUUGUCUAAUGCUGUAGUUUCCCACGCAGGGCUGGUGAAGAUGACCCUCUAGCACACGUAAAUAACUACCUAAAAUAGUGUCAAAGCAAGAAUUUUUGGAGUUUUAGAGCCUGUUUUGUUAGGUUGAAGGGAGGAAGCGCCACAACCAUCAUGUUUGUAGAUGAACAGAGAGAAAAGAUUUGGAAAUGAUUUGAUUACAAUAACUUUACUACCUUAAAAUGCAUUUUAACGGCCAAAAAACAUCUGCAUUUGUGUAUCUUGUUUGUAGGGCGAGACAGUGAGGAUGUGACAUUGAUGUUAAGCAGUCCAACAGGUGUGUAAUGGUAUAUGAUUGCCUGUCAAGUUAAUUGCCUGUUUGUUCUUCCUCAGAGGGAAUAGUGGUAAUCGCAACUAGCUUUUCCUAGUGCUAUUAGUAUUUAAAUGUAAACUGCCCAAAUAUCCCAGACUCGUUGGUGCGAAAAAGCACCACGGCGACAUAAUUUCCUCUUGAAGUGUACACUGUGUGUGUUUUAUUGUUUAUAAUUGCUGUAAGUUGCUCCUCCGGGUUCCUCUUUAUGCAUAAUAUUCCUGGGCUUCAAAUGAGGUUAGUUUGAAUGGAGACCGAAACAGUCUUAUUACCAAUACAGUUUGAAAAAAAGAAGUCGAAAGAGCUUUUAAUAACAUUCCAAAUAUUUUAGGACAACCACCUGCAAUUUAAUUAGCCACAUUUGUGGAUUUUCCCCUUUAUUUACAGUCGUUGUCAACACAUGACGCUAACCAAAAAACUCAUACUCUCUUCUCUCCUGUGAGCGCAUUAGACAUUUCACCAGAGCCUAGCUUCAAACGCAGCGUACACAAUGUAAGGCGGCUUAGAUUACUAAAGUACUUUUCCUAAAAAGAAGUAUUUCUUCUCAUUUCCUCAUGACUCUCUCUGUAGUGUAAGUGAACUUAAAUGCCAUAGUUUAGGCCCUGCUGAACUCAACCUCAGUGUGUAAAUAAAACUGUGAGGCUGAGGGGGGAAAACACACUCUUCUUUAUAUUUCUUUUCUUUAAAAAAAAAAAAAAACACAAGCAUCUACUGAGACGUUUUAGGGUAUGUGCAUUAACCAUGAGAAACACUUUGGACGCUUUUGGACUUUUGACGUAGAAUAUAAAUCCGAGGGAAUGUCUUGCAGCUUGAUGGUUGCCGUUGCAGUUGAGAUAUACAGUUGUGUGGCUUGUGCUUAACUAGUGAGCAUCAUUUAGCUUUGGUCUGGCAGCUUCUGAACAGGAUUUCAGAUAUCCCUUCUUCACUUUUGCAUAUGUGAGAGACAUGACAUCAGUAUACUAAUUUGUGGUAUUUAGACUGGGCCGAUGUACACUUUGUUCAGCUUGUUAUGUUAGACCUGUUUUAAUGUGAUUAAUGUGGUUUAAUCCACUCUAGUAGGCAUCUGAGGACUUCGAUGGGAACACACGGUCACGCCAGUGAUCUGUUUUGUCCUCUUGUACAGCAAGUUUGGAAAAGGUCUAAUUGAAAGUGUCCAAAUAUAACUGCUUGUUUUGAGAUGUGAACUGGGUACGGUUUCGGUUUUGUCAUUUCUGUUGUCGUGUUUGAUUUUGUUGCUUUAACAGUGCCCCUUGUUCGAUGCUGAUGGAACUUGAUUUCUUUUAUUUGAACUUGACAGUUUCAUUUAAGCCCUGUCUCAGGUUCACGGACAAUAAAUGGUAUGUUUGCAUCUCAGGUAGAAUGCAAAGUUACGGCCCCCGAUUAAGAAAGUGGAAAUUACAUGCAAACCGGAUCAAGCUGGAUCUCAAAUCUAAUGGUGAAUUUUACGUUAGAACUAUCUGUUAUGUAUUUUCUGUUGUUGUUGUUGUUGUUGUUGUUGUUGUUGUUUAUUUGGUGCAUUGUAAAAUGUGUAUGUAAUGUACACACUAUGUUGAGUAUUAUCUUUUUUUAGACCUACUUCACACAGAGAGGACAGGAAAGGACAAACCAACUGCUCUCAUGAUAAAAUUUAAUCAUUUUAUGGCUUUUAGAAACAAAUAAAAAACUAAGCAUGAAGGUUCACUUGUAAAUCUAACCAUCAGUGGGAAAUGUACAAAUUAAAUUAUACAAAUUCACCCCCAAUUCGGCUAAAAAGUCAAAUAGUUCAGAAUUGCCGUGAGAGUGAGUUGGGGGCAAAGAAGUAACAUUCUGAAAUCAAAGUCGACAUGUUUCUCAUUCUGGUUCCAGAUAGUUUGGAAAGUUUUGAACGUUUAUCAUUUAUUGUUUUUAGGUUGGUUAUUUUUUUGUCUUUCUGCUGUACUUGGGCAAUGUUACUGUGUAUUAAUGAAGAAAAAACGAUAUCCACAUUCCCAUACACAUUUUGUAUUUGUUCAUAUUAGACAUUUUUACAAAAAAAAUAAAUAAAAAAAUGGAGAGUUCUUGUCUUAAUAAAAAAGAAAAGAAAUUAAUGUUCAAA
This is a long non-coding RNA of Carassius auratus (goldfish), 3853 nucleotides long. RefSeq lists it as uncharacterized. Lineage: Eukaryota; Metazoa; Chordata; Actinopteri; Cypriniformes; Cyprinidae. The transcript has 2 exons. The record is from RefSeq and is a predicted model, not a curated record.